This 419-nucleotide ribosomal RNA is filed under the name bacterium. RNAcentral's name for it is "partial 16S ribosomal RNA". It matches the Rfam family "Bacterial small subunit ribosomal RNA", at positions 355 to 776 of the family's 1533-position model. The record is from RNAcentral.
UGGGGGAUAUUGCACAAUGGGCGAAAGCCUGAUGCAGCGACGCCGCGUGGGGGAUGAAGGCCUUCGGGUUGUAAACUUCUUUUGCUCUGAACAAGGCAUGCUAAUGGGUGUGUUGAGUGUAGGGGUUGAUUAGCGCCGGCUAACUACGUGCCAGCAGCCGCGGUAAUACGUAGGGCGCGAGCGUUGUCCGGGAUUAUUGGGCGUAAAGGGCUUGUAGGUGGCUGGUUGCGUCUGUCGUGAAAGCUCAUGGCUUAACUGUGGGUUUGCGGUGGGUACGGGCUGGCUUGAGUGCAGUAGGGGAGGCUGGAAUUCCUGGUGUAGCGGUGGAAUGCGCAGAUAUCAGGAGGAAUACCGGUGGCGAAGGCGGGUCUCUGGGCUGUUACUGACACUGAGGAGCGAAAGCAUGGGGAGCGAACAGG